Hydra vulgaris (swiftwater hydra) is the source of this 286-nucleotide long non-coding RNA. RefSeq lists it as uncharacterized. NCBI's taxonomy places the organism in Eukaryota, Metazoa, Cnidaria, Hydrozoa, Anthoathecata, Hydridae. The record is from RefSeq and is a predicted model, not a curated record.
UUAGUUUUAUGACAAAUUCACUCAUGGCCAAAUCUAAUAUGGCAGCUGGAAAAAGCAAAGGAUCUUUUUAGUCUAACCAAGCUAUACAACUUAAUAAAAGUUUGUGCAUCGACUUCUCACGAAUCAUACACAGAGUCGAUUGUCGAUGCAAUAAUUACUGUUUCGUGAAAGCGGGCAACUUUUGCUUGUCUUAAAGUGCCUUAAAUCUAACAGAUAUCAUCGUUAUAAUAUUACUUUGUUUGUAAAUUGUUUUAAAAAAUAAAUUUAAAAAUAACUUUUAAAUAAA